CGGUCUUUGGGGGAAGGGGCUAACACAUGCAAGUCGAACGGUAACAGGAAGCAGCUUGCUGCUUUGCUGACGAGUGGCGGACGGGUGAGUAAUGUCUGGGAAACUGCCUGAUGGAGGGGGAUAACUACUGGAAACGGUAGCUAAUACCGCAUAACGUCGCAAGACCAAAGAGGGGGACCUUCGGGCCUCUUGCCAUCGGAUGUGCCCAGAUGGGAUUAGCUAGUAGGUGGGGUAACGGCUCACCUAGGCGACGAUCCCUAGCUGGUCUGAGAGGAUGACCAGCCACACUGGAACUGAGACACGGUCCAGACUCCUACGGGAGGCAGCAGUGGGGAAUAUUGCACAAUGGGCGCAAGCCUGAUGCAGCCAUGCCGCGUGUAUGAAGAAGGCCUUCGGGUUGUAAAGUACUUUCAGCGGGGAGGAAGGCGAUAAGGUUAAUAACCUUGUCGAUUGACGUUACCCGCAGAAGAAGCACCGGCUAACUCCGUGCCAGCAGCCGCGGUAAUACGGAGGGUGCAAGCGUUAAUCGGAAUUACUGGGCGUAAAGCGCACGCAGGCGGUCUGUCAAGUCGGAUGUGAAAUCCCCGGGCUCAACCUGGGAACUGCAUUCGAAACUGGCAGGCUAGAGUCUUGUAGAGGGGGGUAGAACUCCAUGUGUAGCGGUG
Molecule: ribosomal RNA, 665 nt
Filed under: Enterobacter hormaechei
Lineage: Bacteria; Pseudomonadati; Pseudomonadota; Gammaproteobacteria; Enterobacterales; Enterobacteriaceae
Description: bacterial SSU rRNA
Rfam family: Bacterial small subunit ribosomal RNA
Source: RNAcentral